This 344-nucleotide ribosomal RNA is filed under the name uncultured bacterium. RNAcentral describes it as "bacterial SSU rRNA". It matches the Rfam family "Bacterial small subunit ribosomal RNA", at positions 32 to 359 of the family's 1533-position model. The record is from RNAcentral.
AAUCAACGCUGGCGGCGUGCCUCAGACAUGCAAGUCGAACGAGAACCUCCCUUCGGGGAGGGGACAGUGGCGCACGGGUGAGUAACACGUGGGUAAUUUACCUUUGGGUGGGGAACAACAGCCGGAAACGGCUGCUAAUACCGCAUAAUGCAGCGGCUCGACAUCGAGACAGUUGUUAAAGCGGGGGAUCGCAAGACCUCGCGCCUGAAAGAGAAGCCUGCGGCGGAUUAGCAGUUGGUAGGGUAAUGGCCUACCAAGGCGACGAUCUGUAACGGCCUGAGAGGGCGGUCGGUCACACUGACACUGACAUACGGGUCAGACUCCUACGGGAGGCAGCAGUCGGG